This 253-nucleotide ribosomal RNA is filed under the name uncultured prokaryote. RNAcentral's name for it is "partial 16S ribosomal RNA". It matches the Rfam family "Archaeal small subunit ribosomal RNA", at positions 474 to 727 of the family's 1478-position model. The record is from RNAcentral.
UACCAGCUCUCCGAGUGGUGUGGAUGUUUAUUGGGCCUAAAGCAUCCGUAGCUGGCUAAGUUAGUCCCCUGUUAAAUCCAACGAAUUAAUCGUUGGAUCGCGGGGGAUACUGCUUGGCUAGGGGACGAGAGAGGCAGACGGUAUUUCCGGGGUAGGGGUGAAAUCUUAUAAUCCCGGGAAGACCACCAGUGGCGAAGGCUGUCUGCUAGAACGCGCCCGACGGUAAGGGAUGAAAGCUGGGGGAGCGAACCGA